GACGAACGCUGGCGGCGUGCCUAAUACAUGCAAGUUGAGCGCUGAAGGUUGGUACUUGUACCAACUGGAUGAGCAGCGAACGGGUGAGUAACGCGUGGGGAAUCUGCCUUUGAGCGGGGGACAACAUUUGGAAACGAAUGCUAAUACCGCAUAAAAACUUUAAACACAAGUUUUAAGUUUGAAAGAUGCAAUUGCAUCACUCAAAGAUGAUCCCGCGUUGUAUUAGCUAGUUGGUGAGGUAAAGGCUCACCAAGGCGAUGAUACAUAGCCGACCUGAGAGGGUGAUCGGCCAAAUUGGGACUGAGACACGGCCCAAAAUCCUACGGGAGGCAGCAGUAGGGAAUCUUCGGCAAUGGACGAAAGUCUGACCGAGCAACGCCGCGUGAGUGAAGAAGGUUUUCGGAUCGUAAAACUCUGUUGGUAGAGAAGAACGUUGGUGGGAGUGGAAAGCUCAUCAAGUGACGGUAACUACCCAGAAAGGGACGGCUAACUACGUG
RNAcentral lists this ribosomal RNA (497 nucleotides) under uncultured bacterium. RNAcentral describes it as "partial 16S ribosomal RNA". It matches the Rfam family "Bacterial small subunit ribosomal RNA", at positions 28 to 507 of the family's 1533-position model. The record is from RNAcentral.